RNAcentral lists this ribosomal RNA (433 nucleotides) under uncultured bacterium. RNAcentral describes it as "partial 16S ribosomal RNA". It matches the Rfam family "Bacterial small subunit ribosomal RNA", at positions 29 to 507 of the family's 1533-position model. The record is from RNAcentral.
AACGAACGCUGGCGGCAUGCCUAACACAUGCAAGUCGAACGAUACCUUCGGGUCUAGUGGCGCACGGGUGCGUAACGCGUGGGAACCUGCCCUUAGGUUCGGAAUAACUCCCCGAAAGGGGUGCUAAUACCGGAUAAUGUCUUCGGACCAAAGAUUUAUCGCCUUUGGAUGGGCCCGCGUUGGAUUAGCUAGUUGGUAGGGUAAAAGCCUACCAAGGCGACGAUCCAUAGCUGGUCUGAGAGGAUGAUCAGCCACACUGGGACUGAGACACGGCCCAGACUCCUACGGGAGGCAGCAGUGGGGAAUAUUGGACAAUGGGGGAAAGCCUGAUCCAGCAAUGCCGCGUGAGUGAUGAAGGCCUUAGGGUUGUAAAGCUAUUUUACCCGGGAUGAUAAUGACAGUACCGGGAGAAUAAGCUCCGGCUAACUCCGUG